RNAcentral lists this long non-coding RNA (1497 nucleotides) under Apteryx owenii (little spotted kiwi). Its description in RNAcentral is "lncRNA (ENSAOWG00000000659.1)". Lineage: Eukaryota; Metazoa; Chordata; Aves; Apterygiformes; Apterygidae. The record is from RNAcentral.
CUCGGGCAGUGGAGCUACGGUAUUUCCGCCAGUGGAGAGCCGGCUCCCGGUCUCCUAACCUCUAAUGCUGGCGUGCCACAGGGAAGCCUCUCCGAUGGUUACCUGCGUUACGCCUGGUGCCUGCCGGCGCGGUGGAAGUCCCUCACCUCCAUAAACACCUAAUUAAUUUCCGUGCUUUUAAGGAAAUUAAGCCGUGCAGCGAUAUGCCGCCAGCGAGCAAAUUGCACGGUGCUGAUGUCACCAAUUAAUGCUUCAAGAAAUAAUAGUGUACUUCAGAUGCUGACUGUUUCUUCCCCUAAAUUAAUUUGUCGCUGUACAAUAAAACAAGACUAUUGUCCUACGCAGAAGUCGCUAAAUUAAUAUUCAGGCCAUGUCCAAAGCAGUAGAAGGGGAAAAAAUAUAAGGGACAUGUCUUUUUCUUUGCUUUUCCUUAGGUCUCCGGGCAAACGGCAUCCAUUCAGUUAAGCGUAUAAGCGUAUAAUAGCACCCAAGGACUGCGGUGACUCGGGCGCUGCUCGCRGAGAUGGUACCGGAACCUGCGCUCGGCAAAGCAGAAGCGCGACGCAGCGGCUUCGGAUGUUUCCCAUGCGGGCGACACCGCGGACCGGAGCGGACCGGAGCGGACCACGGGGCUGCCAGGGCGCCGCGCGGCAGGACGAGGAGGACGAGAGGAGGACGAGAGGAGGACGUUGGCGCAAGUCCACGGUCACCAGGGAGUGAUCUCCGCGCCCGCGGGCGGCGCGGCGUGCACGCCCUCUCGAACGUUUACCUGGCCGGGGCGGUACCGCCGUGCUGCCGAACGCGUGGCGGCUCGGGCGAGCGUAGCGGGAAGCGCCGCCGCGUGCGGGUGCAUCAGCGGAACGAGCUGUAGCCGGGUCUCAUCCUUCCCCGCCGGGCUGGGGCGUGCGGGAAGGGAAAGGAAAACCGAAAGCGGCUUUGCUGGGCGGUGGUGGCUGCAGGUGCGCAGGGAGGAGGCAUUCGGGUAUUUAGGCUGCGGCUGCUUUUAAAGCGCUCUGGGGCUAUCAGCGGGGCGCUGCGGCCGGCUUCCUGCAAAUGCCCUGGAAAUCAAAUCGUCCUGCUGGAGGAGGGCUGAGAGGAGCAGGAACCAAACGCGUCUCGCUCCCACCGGGCCACGCGGGCAGGAGGCAACGUCAGUUUUGAGCGCUGGCUCAAAAAUAGCCAGGCUACUUGUGUUUGUUAUUUAUACUUUAAUUUAUCUGCAUAUCGCUUAGAGCCUUCCUAAGCUUCUGGUGACUUGUAGCUAAGGAAAAGCAACAUCUGGAGACCUUUACUGCUCCACCUGGAUUGCAGCGCAGCCAUGAGCUGGGGUGGGUUGCACCACGGCACGGUUCGGUUAAGUCAAGCCCAGCAUCCUUCUCGGAGGCGAUCAGGAACGGUCUCCAGGGCGUUGGGGCUGGGAAACCCCUCGCUCCUCGGGGACGCGCGCGGCCUGUUACAGGAAUGGGGUGUGAAACUCCUAAGCGUUAGGCGAGAGCA